GUAGGUGGCAAGCGUUGUCCGGAAUUAUUGGGCGUAAAGCGCGCGCAGGCGGUUCUUUAAGUCUGAUGUGAAAGCCCACGGCUCAACCGUGGAGGGUCAUUGGAAACUGGAGAACUUGAGUACAGAAGAGGAAAGCGGAAUCCCACGUGUAGCGGUGAAAUGUGUAGAGAUGUGGAGGAACACCAGUGGCGAAGGCGGCUUUCUGGUCUGUAACUGACGCUGAGGCGCGAAAGCGUGGGGAGCAAACAGGAUUAGAUACCCUGGUAGUCCACGCCGUAAACGAUGAGUGCUAAGUGUUAGGGGGGUUUUCCGCCCCCCUUAGUGCUGCAGCUAACGCAUUAAGCACUCCGCCUGGGAGUACGGCCGCAAGGCUG
RNAcentral lists this ribosomal RNA (374 nucleotides) under uncultured organism. RNAcentral describes it as "partial 16S ribosomal RNA". It matches the Rfam family "Bacterial small subunit ribosomal RNA", at positions 527 to 896 of the family's 1533-position model. The record is from RNAcentral.